Molecule: transfer RNA, 75 nt
Filed under: Diaphorina citri (Asian citrus psyllid)
Lineage: Eukaryota; Metazoa; Arthropoda; Insecta; Hemiptera; Psyllidae
Rfam family: tRNA
About the family: Transfer RNA (tRNA) molecules are approximately 80 nucleotides in length. Their secondary structure includes four short double-helical elements and three loops (D, anti-codon, and T loops).
Source: Rfam by way of RNAcentral
GCUCCCAUGGCGUAGUGGUCACUGCGCUCGCCUCGCACGCAGGAUUGGACCCGGGUUCGAUUCCCGGCGGGGUCA